UACGAAGGGGGCUAGCGUUGUUCGGAAUUACUGGGCGUAAAGCGCACGUAGGCGGACAUUUAAGUCAGGGGUGAAAUCCCGGAGCUCAACUCCGGAACUGCCUUUGAUACUGGGUGUCUUGAGUGUGGAAGAGGUGAGUGGAAUUGCGAGUGUAGAGGUGAAAUUCGUAGAUAUUCGCAAGAACACCAGUGGCGAAGGCGGCUCACUGGCCCGGUACUGACGCUGAGGUGCGAAAGCGUGGGGAGCAAACAGG
This 253-nucleotide ribosomal RNA is filed under the name uncultured bacterium. RNAcentral describes it as "partial 16S ribosomal RNA". It matches the Rfam family "Bacterial small subunit ribosomal RNA", at positions 524 to 776 of the family's 1533-position model. The record is from RNAcentral.